CUCGGGAGGUGCUCUUAGCUGGGGAGGACUUCUUCGUUUUCGGGUUGUCAUUGUAUUAUUAUUUUUGCAAUUAUUUUAAAGGACUGGAGACUGAUGCAUGAGGGGCCCACGGAGGCGCAGGAGCGGUGGUGAUGGUGUGGGAAGCGGAGCUGAAGUGCGCUGGGCUUUGGUGAGGAGUGACAGUUGAUCAUGACUGUGUUCAGGCAGGAAAACGUGGAUGAUUACUACGACACUGGCGAGGAACUUGGCAGGUUUCAGCACAUUCUGUAACUGAAGACUCAUUCUGCCAUUGGUCAAGGCUUGGAUAGCCUCAGCUGUCUAUGCCAGGCACUCCCUAGCCUUAUGGAACUAGAAUCACAAAGACGUGGUCUCUGGACUCCAGACCCAGGCCUACAUCCUCCUGACUGACACGCCA
This is a long non-coding RNA of Neogale vison (American mink), 415 nucleotides long. RefSeq lists it as uncharacterized. The record is from RefSeq and is a predicted model, not a curated record. The transcript is spliced from 3 exons. NCBI's taxonomy places the organism in Eukaryota, Metazoa, Chordata, Mammalia, Carnivora, Mustelidae.